GGAUUAGCUUGUUGGUGAGGUAAAGGCUCACCAAGGCGACGAUCCUUAGCUGGUCUGAGAGGAUGAUCAGCCACACUGGGACUGAGACACGGCCCAGACUCCUACGGGAGGCAGCAGUGGGGAAUAUUGCACAAUGGGCGCAAGCCUGAUGCAGCCAUGCCGCGUGUAUGAAGAAGGCCUUCGGGUUGUAAAGUACUUUCAGCGGGGAGGAAGGGAGUAAAGUUAAUACCUUUGCUCAUUGACGUUACCCGCAGAAGAAGCACCGGCUAACUCCGUGCCAGCAGCCGCGGUAAUAUGGAGGGUGCAAGCGUUAAUCGGAAUUACUGGGCGUAAAGCGCACGCAGGCGGUUUGUUAAGUCAGAUGUGAAAUCCCCGGGCUCAACCUGGGAACUGCAUCUGAUACUGGCAAGCUUGAGUCUCGUAGAGGGGGGUAGAAUUCCAGGUGUAGCGGUGAAAUGCGUAGAGAUCUGGAGGAAUACCGGUGGCGAAGGCGGCCCCCUGGACGAAGACUGACGCUCAGGUGCGAAAGCAUGGGGAGCAAACAGGAUUAGAUACCCUGGUAGUCCACGCCCUAAACGUUGGGCGCUAGGUGUGGGAUCCAUUCCACGGGUUCCGUGCCGCAGCUAACGCAUUAAGUGUCCCGCCUGGGGAGUACGGCCGCAAGGCUAAA
This 670-nucleotide ribosomal RNA is filed under the name uncultured bacterium. Its description in RNAcentral is "bacterial SSU rRNA". It matches the Rfam family "Bacterial small subunit ribosomal RNA", at positions 238 to 898 of the family's 1533-position model. The record is from RNAcentral.